GAUGAACGCUGGCGGCGUGCCUAAUACAUGCAAGUCGAGCGAACGGACGAGAAGCUUGCUUCUCUGAUGUUAGCGGCGGACGGGUGAGUAACACGUGGAUAACCUACCUAUAAGACUGGGAUAACUUCGGGAAACCGGAGCUAAUACCGGAUAAUAUUUUGAACCGCAUGGUUCAAAAGUGAAAGACGGUCUUGCUGUCACUUAUAGAUGGAUCCGCGCUGCAUUAGCUAGUUGGUAAGGUAACGGCUUACCAAGGCAACGAUGCAUAGCCGACCUGAGAGGGUGAUCGGCCACACUGGAACUGAGACACGGUCCAGACUCCUACGGGAGGCAGCAGUAGGGAAUCUUCCGCAAUGGGCGAAAGCCUGACGGAGCAACGCCGCGUGAGUGAUGAAGGUCUUCGGAUCGUAAAACUCUGUUAUUAGGGAAGAACAUAUGUGUAAGUAACUGUGCACAUCUUGACGGUACCUAAUCAGAAAGCCACGGCUAACUACGUGCCAGCAGCCGCGGUAAUACGUAGGUGGCAAGCGUUAUCCGGAAUUAUUGGGCGUAAAGCGCGCGUAGGCGGUUUUUUAAGUCUGAUGUGAAAGCCCACGGCUCAACCGUGGAGGGUCAUUGGAAACUGGAGAACUUGAGUGCAGAAGAGGAAAGUGGAAUUCCAUGUGUAGCGGUGAAAUGCGCAGAGAUAUGGAGGAACACCAGUGGCGAAGGCGACUUUCUGGUCUGUAACUGACGCUGAUGUGCGAAAGCGUGGGGAUCAAACAGG
This 766-nucleotide ribosomal RNA is filed under the name Staphylococcus aureus. Its description in RNAcentral is "bacterial SSU rRNA". It matches the Rfam family "Bacterial small subunit ribosomal RNA", at positions 28 to 776 of the family's 1533-position model. Lineage: Bacteria; Bacillati; Bacillota; Bacilli; Caryophanales; Staphylococcaceae. The record is from RNAcentral.